This 951-nucleotide ribosomal RNA is filed under the name Triticum aestivum (bread wheat). RNAcentral's name for it is "partial small subunit ribosomal RNA". The record is from RNAcentral. Lineage: Eukaryota; Viridiplantae; Streptophyta; Magnoliopsida; Poales; Poaceae.
AUGUCGCAAUUGCAGAAGUGCUUGUGCGCCAACCGCAACUGCUUCCAUGAAGAUUGCGCUUGUUUCACAAGGGAAGGGGUCUGCUCCGAGUACUGCGAGUGCCAUGGCGACUGCAAGAACAUCUGGAAACACGAGGAGGAAGUCACAGAGGAAUUCGCUGAAUACACCAAGAGGAAAGCUGAUGAAGCUGCCGCCCAAGCUGCUGCUGCCCAAGCUGCCGCUGCCCAACCUGCUGCUGACCAAGCUGCCGCUGCCCAAGCUGCUGCUGCCCAAGCUGCCGCUGCCCAACCUGCUGCUGACCAAGCUGCCGCUGCCCAAGCUGCUGCUGCCCAAGCUGCCGCUGCCCAACCUGCUGCUGACCAAGCUGCCGCUGCCCAAGCUGCUGCUGCCCAAGCUGCCGCUGCCCAAGCUGCCGCUCAACCUCAACCUAAGCCAUUGCCAGCACAAGAACCAGAGUCGAAGGGUGAAGCCAGGAAUAACUCCCCAUCGGCAGUCAAAAUGAAUUGGUGCAGCUGCAGGACGAGCGGAUGUCGCAUCCACCGCUGCCCUUGCUUCAUGCACAACGCCUGGUGCUCCUCAAAAUGCAACUGCGCGGCCACAGUGUGUGUUAAUCGCAGUGGGGCCAAAGGGGCUCUUGCUGAGAAGCUGCAGCACCGCGGGAUUAAAAGAGAGGUUCUUGCUUCAGGUUCUGUAACGAGCACGGCGACUGCAGGAGCGGUGCUGGCCAAUGAGGGUGGUAAGGGGUGCACGUGCUUGUUAAGCAAAUGCACAAACAAGAAGUGUGGUUGCCUGAAUCGCGGGGCUAGGUGCACCUUAAAAUGCAGUUGCCAAGGGUGCGAAAAUGGAAAAGGGACCGGAGGGGCUGAUAAAUCCAAUGCUGGAGCAGGAGGUACGGGUGGCACAGGUGACACCAGAGGCUCAGGUCCCAACAAGCAAAUAAGAAUCGCGUGA